CGGAGGGAGCUAGCGUUGUUCGGAAUUACUGGGCGUAAAGCGCGCGUAGGCGGUUACUCAAGUCAGAGGUGAAAGCCCGGGGCGUCAACCCCGGAACCUGCCUUUGAAACUAGGUGACUAGAAUCUUGGAGAGGUCAGUGGAAUUCCGAGUGUAGAGGUGAAAUUACGUAGAUAUUCGGAAGAACACCAGUGGCGAAGGCGACUGACUGGACAAGUAUUGACGCUGAGGUGCGAAAGCGUGGGGAGCAAACAGGAUU
This 257-nucleotide ribosomal RNA is filed under the name uncultured bacterium. RNAcentral's name for it is "partial 16S ribosomal RNA". It matches the Rfam family "Bacterial small subunit ribosomal RNA", at positions 526 to 779 of the family's 1533-position model. The record is from RNAcentral.